Long non-coding RNA from Humulus lupulus (European hop), 550 nucleotides. RefSeq lists it as uncharacterized. The record is from RefSeq and is a predicted model, not a curated record. The transcript is spliced from 4 exons. NCBI's taxonomy places the organism in Eukaryota, Viridiplantae, Streptophyta, Magnoliopsida, Rosales, Cannabaceae.
AUGAAAAUCUCUCAAUUCUCUCUCACUCCCUCCCUAGCCGAGCCCUCCCUUCACCCUCUCAUUUCUUUGCUUUUCUUUUUCUUAACUCACACAAACACUCAAACCCUUCUUCAUUUUCUAAGGAAAAUGCCUAGGUAGUUCUCUAAGUUGAAGAAAAAGUCAAAGCUCUAAAAGCUUCUAAGAAAGAAAGAUCUAAGGGAGAGAAACAAAGAGGAUAAAGUCUAGAGCCACCAAAACUCAAGGAGGAUCUUCAAAGAGUGGGCUAACAAAGUGGAACUCUUUAAAAGAAGAUUUGUCACGUGCAGCUAAGGACGUUUGGUAAGGGCAAGAAAAGCUGAACUAGUGAGAUGUCGAAGCCUACCUCUAAAAGUAUAUAUGUGGCCUGACCUAUGGGUGUUUGCACUUUCAAAAGAGAGUCUCUUGCUUAUGUUUUUAAACUAUGUUGGAUUAUCACCAUACUUUCUAAUGAUUUUAAUGUUUAUUGUAAAUUUUUUUAGUGUGUGCACACAUUACCUUAAAAGUUUUUUUUUAAUCUGAAUUUUUUUAGACA